CCUACGGGUGGCAGCAGUGAGGAAUAUUGGUCAAUGGGCGCGAGCCUGAACCAGCCAAGUAGCGUGAAGGAUGACGGCCCUACGGGUUGUAAACUGCUUUUAUGAAGGGAUAAAGUGAGGCACGUGUGCCGUUUUGUAGGUACUGUAUGAAUAAGGAUCGGCUAACUCCGUGCCAGCAGCCGCGGUAAUACGGAGGGUCCGGGCGUUAUCCGGAUUUAUUGGGUUUAAAGGGAGCGUAGGUGGCUUGUUAAGCUAGUUGUGAAAGUUUGUGGCUCAACCGUGGAACUGCAGCUGAUACUGGCUGCCUUGAGUGCAGUUGAGGUAGGCGGAAUUCGUGGUGUAGCGGUGAAAUGCUUAGAUAUCACGAAGAACUCCGAUUGCGAAGGCAGCCUACUACAGUGCCACUGACAUUGAUGCUCGAAAGCGCGGGUAUCAAACAGGAUUAGAUACCCCAGUAGUC
RNAcentral lists this ribosomal RNA (460 nucleotides) under uncultured bacterium. RNAcentral describes it as "partial 16S ribosomal RNA". It matches the Rfam family "Bacterial small subunit ribosomal RNA", at positions 338 to 795 of the family's 1533-position model. The record is from RNAcentral.